CGUAAAUUUUCGACAAAUCGAUGUCAAUGUUCAUAAGAACCAAAACCGGAACAACAUUAGGCUACUCAGUUGCGCCCUAACAGUAUAAAUUGGCAACGAGGGCUUUUUCUCAUUCUAUCGAACGAAGAGUAAAAAAUGUGUCGGUUCUAUUAUGCCCCGAGAGGGUAAAUUAGAUGUCCACAUUCACAAGAACGAAAACCGGAACAACAUUAAGCUACUCAAUUGCGGCCAAACAGCAUAAAUUUGGAACGAGUAAUUUUUCUCAUUCAAUCGAACAAAGAGUAAUACCUAAUUAAAAUGUUCUAUUAUGCCCCGAGAGGGUAAAUUAGAUAUCCACGUUCACAAGAACGAAAACCGGAACAACAUUAGACUACUCAAUUGCGCCCUAACAGUAUAAAUUUGCAACGUGUACUUUUUCUCAUUCAUUCAAACAAAGAGUAAAACCUAAUUAAAAUGUUCUAUUAUGCCCUGAGAGGGUAAAUUAGAUGUCCACGUUCACAAAACGAGAACCGGAACAACAUUAGGCUACUCAAUUGCGCCCUAACAUUAUAAAUUUGCAACGAGUACUUUUUCUCAUUCAAGCGAAUAAAGAGCAAAACCUAAUUAAAAUAUUCUAUUAUGCCCCGGGGAGGUAAAUUAGAUGUCCACGUUCACAAGAACGAAAACCGGAACAACAUUAAGCUACUCAAUUGCGGCCAAACAGUAUAAAUUUGGAACGAGUACUUUUUCUCAUUCAACCGAAUAAAGAGUAAUACCUAAUUAAAAUGUUAUAUUAUGCCCCGAGAGGGUAAAUUAGAUAUCCACU
Molecule: long non-coding RNA, 805 nt
Filed under: Ananas comosus (pineapple)
Lineage: Eukaryota; Viridiplantae; Streptophyta; Magnoliopsida; Poales; Bromeliaceae
Description: long non-coding RNA (ACOM_LNC037888)
Source: RNAcentral